This 256-nucleotide ribosomal RNA is filed under the name uncultured bacterium. RNAcentral's name for it is "partial 16S ribosomal RNA". It matches the Rfam family "Bacterial small subunit ribosomal RNA", at positions 15 to 266 of the family's 1533-position model. The record is from RNAcentral.
GAUCCUGGCUCAGGACGAACGCUGGCGGCGCGCCUAACACAUGCAAGUCGAACGAGCGAGAGAGAGUUUACUUUUUCGAGCGAGUGGCGAACGGGUGAGUAACGCGUGGGGAACCUGCCUCAAAGAGGGGGACAACAGUUGGAAACGACUGCUAAUACCGCAUAAGCCCACGACCCGGCAUCGGGUAGAGGGAAAAGGAGCAAUCCGCUUUGAGAUGGCCUCGCGUCCGAUUAGCUAGUUGGUGAGGUAACGGCCC